This 497-nucleotide ribosomal RNA is filed under the name uncultured bacterium. Its description in RNAcentral is "partial 16S ribosomal RNA". It matches the Rfam family "Bacterial small subunit ribosomal RNA", at positions 28 to 507 of the family's 1533-position model. The record is from RNAcentral.
GAUGAACGCUGGCGGCGUGCCUAAUACAUGCCAGUCGAGCGAACAGAUGAGGAGCUUGCUCCUCUGACGUUAGCGGCGGACGGGUGAGUAACACGUGGAUAACCUACCUAUAAGACUGGGAUAACUUCGGGAAACCGGAGCUAAUACCGGAUAAUAUAUUGAACCGCAUGGUUCAAUAGUGAAAGACGGUUUUGCUGUCACUUAUAGAUGGAUCCGCGCCGCAUUAGCUAGUUGGUAAGGUAACGGCUUACCAAGGCAACGAUGCGUAGCCGACCUGAGAGGGUGAUCGGCCACACUGGAACUGAGACACGGUCCAGACUCCUACGGGAGGCAGCAGUAGGGAAUCUUCCGCAAUGGGCGAAAGCCUGACGGAGCAACGCCGCGUGAGUGAUGAAGGUCUUCGGAUCGUAAAACUCUGUUAUUAGGGAAGAACAAAUGUGUAAGUAACUAUGCACGUCUUGACGGUACCUAAUCAGAAAGCCACGGCUAAUUACGUG